RNAcentral lists this transfer RNA (63 nucleotides) under Salmo salar (Atlantic salmon). It matches the Rfam family "tRNA". Rfam says of the family: Transfer RNA (tRNA) molecules are approximately 80 nucleotides in length. Lineage: Eukaryota; Metazoa; Chordata; Actinopteri; Salmoniformes; Salmonidae. The record is from Rfam by way of RNAcentral.
CCCUGUGUGGCUCAGUUGGUAGAGCAUGGCGCUUGCAACGCCAGGGUUCGAUUCCCACAGGGG